CCUACGGGUGGCAGCAGUGGGGAAUAUUGGACAAUGGGGGCAACCCUGAUCCAGCCAUGCCGCGUGUGUGAAGAAGGCCCUCGGGUUGUAAAGCACUUUCAGUGAGGAAGAACGCCUGGUGGUUAAUACCCAUCAGGAAAGACAUCACUCACAGAAGAAGCACCGGCUAACUCCGUGCCAGCAGCCGCGGUAAUACGGAGGGUGCGAGCGUUAAUCGGAAUUACUGGGCGUAAAGCGCGCGUAGGUGGCUUGAUAAGCCGGUUGUGAAAGCCCCGGGCUCAACCUGGGAACGGCAUCCGGAACUGUCAAGCUAGAGUGCAGGAGAGGAAGGUAGAAUUGCCGGUGUAGCGGUGAAAUGCGUAGAGAUCGGGAGGAAUACCAGUGGCGAAGGCGGCCUUCUGGACUGACACUGACACUGAGGUGCGAAAGCGUGGGUAGCAAACAGGAUUAGAUACCCUUGUAGUC
Molecule: ribosomal RNA, 465 nt
Filed under: Vreelandella stevensii
Lineage: Bacteria; Pseudomonadati; Pseudomonadota; Gammaproteobacteria; Oceanospirillales; Halomonadaceae
Description: partial 16S ribosomal RNA
Rfam family: Bacterial small subunit ribosomal RNA
Source: RNAcentral